GAUGAACGCUGGCGGCGUGCUUAACACAUGCAAGUCGAACGAGAAGUGAAGACGGAAACCUUCUGGCGGAAGGCUUUAUUUCGAGUGGCGUACGGGUGAGUAACGCGUGGGUAACCUGCCUCAUACAGGGGGAUAACAGUUGGAAACGACUGUUAAUACCGCAUAAGACCACAGCACCGCAUGGUGCGGGGGUAAAUACUCCGGUGGUAUGAGAUGGACCCGCGUUCGAUUAGUCAGUUGGCGGGGUAACGGCCCACCAAAGCGACGAUAGACAGCCGAUCACAGAGGAAGACCGGACACAUUGAGACUGAGACACGGCCCAAACUCCUACGGGAGGCAGCAGUGGGGAAUAUUGCACAAUGGGGGAAACCAUGAUGCAGCGACGCCGCGAGAGUGAAGAAGUAUUUCGGUAUGUAAAGCUCUAUCAGCAGGGAAGAAAAUGACGGUACCUGAGGAAGAAGCCCCGGCUAACUACGUG
This 478-nucleotide ribosomal RNA is filed under the name uncultured bacterium. RNAcentral describes it as "partial 16S ribosomal RNA". It matches the Rfam family "Bacterial small subunit ribosomal RNA", at positions 28 to 507 of the family's 1533-position model. The record is from RNAcentral.